GCAGAGGCAACAUCAACACGAACGGUGCAGGACGGGCAAGGACCCUCGAUUGCCGCCACAGCCACUGCUGCUGGGCAAGCGUGGACAAGAUCUCCCAGCUCCAGAGGACAUAUUUACAUCUCAAGGCAUCUCUUCCUGCAUCGGAUGCAUCUCAAAAUCCCAUAAGAGGGAGCGCCCUGCGAAUCUGAAAUAAGAUCAGAGAAGGGCUUGCUGCAGCAGUCUGGCCAUCCUCUGCCGAUGAACAUGAACCCUCGUGAAUAGUCGGAAGAAAGCAGAGCUUAAGGGACUAGGACCCUUCAGGAUCCAUCCUUCUCUGUAACUCAGACACCUGGUCAACAGAGGAAAACACGCUUCUGCUAUGAAAACAAGACUCGGAGAUUUGUAGAGAAUGGCACCGUGAAGACAAGAUGGUAACCAUGGUCCAUUCCCUCUCAGCGGCACCACCUGGGCAGGAACGGUACAACCUAAAGAUGAGCCCAGAUUUUCUCUGAAGUGGGUAGCUAAGUGAAUUGUAUUCUUUUGUUGUUGUUGUUGUUCUCCCAGCCCCAGUGAGAAGCAGCAAGGGAUUUAAAUGCGAGUAGUUGAAGAUGAAAGUUCUCAAAUUUUUAUGUUAAAUACAAGCGUACUUAUCCCUUGAUCAUAUCCAUACAAGGCAGCACCUUUAAGACACUGAUCUGAGGGGGAUGCGUGUUCAAAAUGAGAACACUGCUAGGCAGCAAAAUCAAUCAGAUUGCCCUCUUAGAUACACCCAAGGUGAAGCAGCUUGAACUGGGUGUUCCUACCUCUUUCGAUCCUCCCCCUGCUGGAAAAAUCGGUCUCCUGGUGACUCAGAAUUAGUUCAAGAUACUUCCCCACACCCUUACUCUCUGUCAAGAUCAAGCCUGUUCCCCGCUGAUUUCCAACACUGACCCCACACGCCCUCAGGUGAUCCCUCUACCAAGGCGCACACGGCUUUCCAUUCGGGAGGCAAAGGACAGCGUGUAUAGCAGCCUGUGCCUUUAAAGCUCCUCAAAGCCCUGCCCCAGCCUUCCCGGAGGAAUUUAUUCAGGAAUUCUUUAGUCCACCGUACCUUCAUUUUCCAGAAGAGGAAAUGCCUUCUUGUCUUCCAGAACUGCUGCUUGUCUGGCUUAGACUUUAGAGACAGCGUGAUCUAGAACACUUACAAAUGCGGGCUCAUUGCAAGACUACUGAAAUAGAACAAACCAAGCCAACAACAACAACAGAGGAGGAUGGGUAAAGCAUCCCCAUGAAUAAAAUGGGGUGUUGCCCCUGAAAUGAUGCAGUGGGGGAGGGGCCCCUGCAAGGAGUCCGCUCACCUGGUCCCCAGGCCUCAAAAAAGAAUUUGCAUUCCACAGGGCUGCCCGAUGGCACACUGCGGAUCAUCUAAUGUUCCUUCUGCAACAUGUCCAAUCAUAUUUGGGAAUUAGCAUCUAACUCGGGAGCUACCUGUCUCAGGGUGGGUCCAUGAACAUGACAUAAACCCAGUGCUCGGCAGCCACAGUGACUCAAGUAACCAGAGGUCAAUCGAUCCCUCUUCUGUCUUCAUCUACCUCCCGAACAGAGCUCUCAGCCAGGACUGUCUGCGGCUGCCUCUGAUCCCUUUUCCGGUGCCCUUCUUCCAGAACAUGUGAAGGAAGCAGAGGUUAAGGAACCAGGACUUCCAGGAUCCAGCUCUCUUCUGUAUGUCAGUGAUCAGAUAGAGUAUUUUCGCUGCCAAGGAAGACUCUGAACCUCUUAGGUAAAUAGGAUUAUAAAAUUGAGAGUAGUCGGUGCAGUCAUUUCCAACUUAAGUUCUCUCCCUGGGCCGGAAGCUCAAAGCGGAGUUAAUUUUUCUCUGAAGAAAGAUUUCGCUCAUUCAUUCAUGCAUUCAAUUAAUUUUAUCUUUGUGGUCAUCAGAUCUGAGGAUCAACAGCCAUCAAUAACCACAACUCCUCUCAUCUCCUUGGAGACCACAGACCGUACAGAGACUCCGUGUCCUGCAAAGGAGCAUCUGAUUGGAUAAGUGGAGGUUACAGCCCACGCUGCCGGAACUCAGAAGUUCCCUCUUCAGGCUUCUAUAGGAGGAGAUUUGGCAGUGGGGAUCCAUUCAUCUUGCUGCUGCCCAAGCUCUUCCCCAAUCCAGAGGACAUGGGCCUUCUGCUGAAGAUAAGCUCACAACAUCAAAGGAGGAGGAAAUUCCCUCAGUGGAUAUUUUGCCUUAGAGCAAAAAUGGUAUCUCAGCGUUGGGCUUGCCCCUACAUUCAUUCAUGUUGGUACUUUUUAUUUAAGUUUUUAUACUAGCUAGGUUCCCCUUUGCCUAAAAACCCAAGGGAAAAAACCCAAUUCUUUAAUUUACUCACAUCCUGCUAGGCUUUCUCAGGCUAUUCAUUUUCUUACCCCGCUUCAUCUUCAGCUGCAAGGAAGCUGGAGUUUGGAGGAAAGGGGGAGGCAGGUCAACCGGAGGUUGUCCUGACCUCAGAGGGAGAGCCCCCCUGUCGUCAACACCAGGGCUACCCUAGGCUAUUGCAACAUGUCUGCAGGCUCAGUUCUAGAAGAAAAUACCAUUUACUUCCCAACGUGCUGGGGCUCAGUGGGGCAUAAAGAAUAAAUGAAGUAAAUUAACUGACAAAAUUUGGUAAUUGCCAGUUCCUGAGAACUUAAAAGAGAAACCGUAAAAGGGAUCCUGAGCCUUCGCGAGCGUUUAGAGACUAUCUUGAUCCAUAAAAAUAAAGGAGUGGGGCGCCUGGGUGGCUCAGUCGGUUGAGCGUCCGACUUCGG
Molecule: long non-coding RNA, 2757 nt
Organism: Lynx canadensis (Canada lynx)
Lineage: Eukaryota; Metazoa; Chordata; Mammalia; Carnivora; Felidae
Exons: 7
Source: RefSeq, a predicted model, not a curated record